Molecule: unclassified non-coding RNA, 89 nt
Filed under: Pseudomonas palleroniana
Lineage: Bacteria; Pseudomonadati; Pseudomonadota; Gammaproteobacteria; Pseudomonadales; Pseudomonadaceae
Source: RNAcentral
UGUGGGAGGGGGCUUGCUCCCGAUAGCGGUGUGUCAGGUUCAGAAACCGUGACUGACACACCGCCAUCGGGAGCAAGCCCCCUCCCACA